Homo sapiens (human) is the source of this 149-nucleotide non-coding RNA. It matches the Rfam family "Metazoan signal recognition particle RNA". Rfam says of the family: The signal recognition particle (SRP) is a universally conserved ribonucleoprotein. It is involved in the co-translational targeting of proteins to membranes. NCBI's taxonomy places the organism in Eukaryota, Metazoa, Chordata, Mammalia, Primates, Hominidae. The record is from Rfam.
GCUGGGUGUGGUGGUGUGCACCUGUUAUCCCAACUACUUAGGAGGCUGAGACAAGAGAAUUGCUUGAGCCCAGGAAUUCAAGGCUGCAGUGAGCUAUGGAUCGCACCACUGCACUCCAGCCUGGGCAACAGAGCAAGACCCUGUCUCAA